RNAcentral lists this ribosomal RNA (658 nucleotides) under uncultured Pseudomonadota bacterium. RNAcentral describes it as "bacterial SSU rRNA". It matches the Rfam family "Bacterial small subunit ribosomal RNA", at positions 66 to 713 of the family's 1533-position model. The record is from RNAcentral. Lineage: Bacteria; Pseudomonadati; Pseudomonadota.
ACGGUAACAGGAAACAGCUUGCUGUUUCGCUGACGAGUGGCGGACGGGUGAGUAAUGUCUGGGAAACUGCCUGAUGGAGGGGGAUAACUACUGGAAACGGUAGCUAAUACCGCAUAACGUCGCAAGACCAAAGAGGGGGACCUUAGGGCCUCUUGCCAUCGGAUGUGCCCAGAUGGGAUUAGCUAGUAGGUGGGGUAAAGGCUCACCUGGGCGACGAUCCCUAGCUGGUCUGAGAGGAUGACCAGCCACACUGGAACUGAGACACGGUCCAGACUCCUACGGGAGGCAGCAGUGGGGAAUAUUGCACAAUGGGCGCAAGCCUGAUGCAGCCAUGCCGCGUGUAUGAAGAAGGCCUUCGGGUUGUAAAGCACUUUCAGCGGGGAGGAAGGGAGUAAAGUUAAUACCUUUGCUCAUUGACGUUACCCGCAGAAGAAGCACCGGCUAACUCCGUGCCAGCAGCCGCGGUAAUACGGAGGGUGCAAGCGUUAAUCGGAAUUACUGGGCGUAAAGCGCACGCAGGCGGUUUGUUAAGUCAGAUGUGAAAUCCCCGGGCUCAACCUGGGAACUGCAUCUGAUACUGGCAAGCUUGAGUCUCGUAGAGGGGGGUAGAAUUCCAGGUGUAGCGGUGAAAUGCGUAGAGAUCUGGAGGAAUACCGGU